Molecule: ribosomal RNA, 425 nt
Filed under: uncultured bacterium
Lineage: Bacteria
Description: bacterial SSU rRNA
Rfam family: Bacterial small subunit ribosomal RNA
Source: RNAcentral
UGGGGAAUAUUGCACAAUGGGCGAAAGCCUGAUGCAGCGACGCCGCGUGAGGGAUGACGGCCUUCGGGUUGUAAACCUCUUUCAGCAGGGAAGAAGCGAAAGUGACGGUACCUGCAGAAGAAGCACCGGCUAACUACGUGCCAGCAGCCGCGGUAAUACGUAGGGUGCGAGCGUUGUCCGGAAUUAUUGGGCGUAAAGAGCUUGUAGGCGGUUUGUCGCGUCUGCUGUGAAAAUCCGGGGCUCAACCCCGGACUUGCAGUGGGUACGGGCAGACUAGAGUGUGGUAGGGGAGACUGGAAUUCCUGGUGUAGCGGUGAAAUGCGCAGAUAUCAGGAGGAACACCGAUGGCGAAGGCAGGUCUCUGGGCCACUACUGACGCUGAGAAGCGAAAGCAUGGGGAGCGAACAGGAUUAGAUACCCUGGUA